Molecule: ribosomal RNA, 620 nt
Filed under: Micromonospora sp. I12A-01970
Lineage: Bacteria; Bacillati; Actinomycetota; Actinomycetes; Micromonosporales; Micromonosporaceae
Description: bacterial SSU rRNA
Rfam family: Bacterial small subunit ribosomal RNA
Source: RNAcentral
CGGGUGAGUAACACGUGAGCAACCUGCCCUAGGCUUUGGGAUAACCCCGGGAAACCGGGGCUAAUACCGAAUAUGACCUGGCCUCGCAUGAGGCUUGGUGGAAAGUUUUUCGGCCUGGGAUGGGCUCGCGGCCUAUCAGCUUGUUGGUGGGGUGAUGGCCUACCAAGGCGACGACGGGUAGCCGGCCUGAGAGGGCGACCGGCCACACUGGGACUGAGACACGGCCCAGACUCCUACGGGAGGCAGCAGUGGGGAAUAUUGCACAAUGGGCGGAAGCCUGAUGCAGCGACGCCGCGUGAGGGAUGACGGCCUUCGGGUUGUAAACCUCUUUCAGCAGGGACGAAGCGUAAGUGACGGUACCUGCAGAAGAAGCGCCGGCCAACUACGUGCCAGCAGCCGCGGUAAGACGUAGGGCGCGAGCGUUGUCCGGAUUUAUUGGGCGUAAAGAGCUCGUAGGCGGCUUGUCGCGUCGACCGUGAAAACUUGGGGCUCAACCCCAAGCCUGCGGUCGAUACGGGCAGGCUAGAGUUCGGUAGGGGAGACUGGAAUUCCUGGUGUAGCGGUGAAAUGCGCAGAUAUCAGGAGGAACACCGGUGGCGAAGGCGGGUCUCUGGGCCGAU